RNAcentral lists this ribosomal RNA (484 nucleotides) under uncultured bacterium. Its description in RNAcentral is "partial 16S ribosomal RNA". It matches the Rfam family "Bacterial small subunit ribosomal RNA", at positions 30 to 507 of the family's 1533-position model. The record is from RNAcentral.
AUUGAACGCUGGCGGCAGGCCUAACACAUGCAAGUCGAGCGGAUGAAGGGAGCUUGCUCCUGGAUUCAGCGGCGGAAGGGUGAGUAAUGCCUAGGAAUCUGCCUGGUAGUGGGGGAUAACGUCCGGAAACGGGCGCUAAUACCGCAUACGUCCUGAGGGAGCAAGUGGGGGAUCUUCGGACAUCACGCUAUCAGAUGAGCCUAGGUCGGAUUAGCUAGUUGGUGGGGUAAAGGCCUACCAAGGCGACGAUCCGUAACUGGUCUGAGAGGAUGAUCAGUCACACUGGAACUGAGACACGGUCCAGACUCCUACGGGAGGCAGCAGUGGGGAAUGUUGGACAAUGGGCGAAAGCCUGAUCCAGCCAUGCCGCGUGUGUGAAGAAGGUCUUCGGAUUGUAAAGCACUUUAAGUUGGGAGGAAGGGCAGUAAGUUAAUACCUUGCUGUUUUGACGUUACCAACAGAAUAAGCACCGGCUAACUUCGUG